GACGAACGCUGGCGGCGUGCUUAACACAUGCAAGUCGAACGGAAAGGCCCUGCUUUUGUGGGGUGCUCGAGUGGCGAACGGGUGAGUAACACGUGAGUAACCUGCCCUUGACUUUGGGAUAACUUCAGGAAACUGGAGCUAAUACCGGAUAGGAGCUCCUGCUGCAUGGUGGGGGUUGGAAAGUUUCGGCGGUUGGGGAUGGACUCGCGGCUUAUCAGCUUGUUGGUUGGGUAGUGGCUUACCAAGGCUUUGACGGGUAGCCGGCCUGGGAGGGUGACCGGCCACAUUGGGACUGAGAUACGGCCCAGACUCCUACGGGAGGCAGAAGGGGGGAAUAUUGCACAAUGGGCGGAAGCCUGAUGCAGCAACGCCGCGUGCGGGAUGACGGCCUUCGGGUUGUGAACCGCUGUCGCCUGUGACGAAGCGUGAGUGACGGUAAUGGGUAAAUAAGCACCGGCUAACUACGUG
RNAcentral lists this ribosomal RNA (468 nucleotides) under uncultured bacterium. Its description in RNAcentral is "partial 16S ribosomal RNA". It matches the Rfam family "Bacterial small subunit ribosomal RNA", at positions 28 to 507 of the family's 1533-position model. The record is from RNAcentral.